RNAcentral lists this ribosomal RNA (372 nucleotides) under uncultured organism. RNAcentral's name for it is "bacterial SSU rRNA". It matches the Rfam family "Bacterial small subunit ribosomal RNA", at positions 526 to 896 of the family's 1533-position model. The record is from RNAcentral.
CGUAGGAGGCAAGCGUUAUCCGGAUUCACUGGGCGUAAAGCGCGUGCAGGCGGUGCGGUAAGUUGGGCGUGAAAUCUCCCGGCUCAACUGGGAGAGGUCGUUCAAUACUACCGUACUUGAGAGCAGAAGAGGAAAAUGGAAUUCCCGGUGUAGUGGUGAAAUGCGUAGAUAUCGGGAGGAACACCAGUGGCGAAGGCGAUUCUCUGGUCUGUUUCUGACGCUCAGACGCGACAGCUAGGGUAGUAAACGGGAUUAGAGACCCCGGUAAUCCUAGCCGUAAACGAUGUGAACUUGGCGUUGGUGGGUUAAACUCCAUCAGUGCCGCAGCAAACGCGAUAAGUUCACCGCCUGGGGACUACGGCCGCAAGGUUA